UGGGGAAUAUUGCACAAUGGGCGCAAGCCUGAUGCAGCCAUGCCGCGUGUAUGAAGAAGGCCUUCGGGUUGUAAAGUACUUUCAGUCGGGAGGAAGGUGUCAAGGUUAAUAACCUUGGCAAUUGACGUUACCGACAGAAGAAGCACCGGCUAACUCCGUGCCAGCAGCCGCGGUAAUACGGAGGGUGCAAGCGUUAAUCGGAAUUACUGGGCGUAAAGCGCACGCAGGCGGUUGAUUGAGUCAGAUGUGAAAUCCCCGGGCUUAACCCGGGAAUUGCAUCUGAUACUGGUCAGCUAGAGUCUUGUAGAGGGGGGUAGAAUUCCAUGUGUAGCGAUGAAAUGCGUAGAGAUGUGGAGGAAUACCGGUGGCGAAGGCGGCCCCCUGGACAAAGACUGACGCUCAGGUGCGAAAGCGUGGGGAGCAAACAGG
This 429-nucleotide ribosomal RNA is filed under the name Chloroflexota bacterium. Its description in RNAcentral is "Chloroflexi bacterium partial 16S ribosomal RNA". It matches the Rfam family "Bacterial small subunit ribosomal RNA", at positions 355 to 776 of the family's 1533-position model. Lineage: Bacteria; Bacillati; Chloroflexota. The record is from RNAcentral.